GCGCCUUUAGCUCAGAUGGUAGAGCAUCGGACUUUUAAUCCGCUGGUCGCGGGUUCGAUCCCCGCAGGGCGCA
Molecule: transfer RNA, 73 nt
Filed under: Glutamicibacter uratoxydans
Lineage: Bacteria; Bacillati; Actinomycetota; Actinomycetes; Micrococcales; Micrococcaceae
Also listed under: 3 other names
Description: Arthrobacter uratoxydans tRNA
Rfam family: tRNA
About the family: Transfer RNA (tRNA) molecules are approximately 80 nucleotides in length. Their secondary structure includes four short double-helical elements and three loops (D, anti-codon, and T loops).
Source: Rfam by way of RNAcentral